This is a non-coding RNA of Rhododendron simsii, 72 nucleotides long. Lineage: Eukaryota; Viridiplantae; Streptophyta; Magnoliopsida; Ericales; Ericaceae. The record is from the annotation of a GenBank genome assembly.
UCCUUGAGUGGUUCAAUGGUAAAGUGUUUGCUAUUUUACAUAAAUUGCCUAGGUUCAAAUCCUGGUAAGGUA